RNAcentral lists this long non-coding RNA (245 nucleotides) under Elaeis guineensis (African oil palm). RNAcentral's name for it is "long non-coding RNA (EGUI_LNC003114)". The record is from RNAcentral. Lineage: Eukaryota; Viridiplantae; Streptophyta; Magnoliopsida; Arecales; Arecaceae.
GAGCCUCCAUGAAGCCCUCAUGAAUGAUGGACCUUGGCCUUAGCCUUGGUCCCCUAGGCCUUGGGCACACCACCUGGAUCACAACAAAUGGCAUAAUAGAAAAUGACGAAGAUAGCAUACAGUACAGUCAGCCUGCGAGUCGGAUGAUUAGACUGUCUUCAUUAUUAUCACAUCAAGAAUUAUUAGACUAUUUAUGCAGUGGUAUUCAUAUAGAUAGAGAAAAAUAUGAAAUCAAAUUGAGGUGG